CUCCCGAGUCGUCGAAGAAGAAGAGGAUACAGUUUCGUGCAGAAUAUGGCUACGGUUGGAUCAGUUGUAUACUGUCUUUAAGUUUGGGGUUGAUCGGUGUAUGAAACCCCUCGAAGAGAGUUGGAGGCUUUUGAGUGCCUUUAGAAACAAGGUCUCCGUGCGGUCUGCGAGUCAGUUUACGUCUCACGUCGGACGGAGAAGCAACGUGCCGUGACGCAGCCGGACUUUUCGCCCUGUUCGAGCCACUGUCGCUGAGAUUGAUCAGCGAAAAUACAACGAUGAGAUCGUUCCCUGACCACGAGGCAGCAUUUUUUCUUCGUCUGGUGUCGACGAACGCAACUGCAAUAAUGUUGCAACCGUAGAUUCGAACUUAUAAGGGAGUAGCUGAAGAAAGUCAAAGCCUUACACGGGACUUCGCGCGAAAUCAAGAUCUCGGUUUUAAGGCGGGGGACACGGGGGUAAUGGCGUGUGCAUUAUUCUGAUAAAUCGCCCCCCGGCUGGCGUCAAACCUGACUGCCGGCUGACAGGAACCUUGGUCAAUCGUAUCUACCUCUACGCAAGACGUUCGCAUUCGCGACCGCGGCAGUUAUUCGACGAAAACCCAAGGGAAUUUUCGUUUCCUUCGACCGGAAAUCUAAAUUUUAAAAACGUACCAUUAUUAAACUUUCCUUGGUCGAUAUAUGGUUGCUUGUAUUGUGAAUCAUAGAUGUAUUGACACUAAACUUACCACGACAGGUCAAAUAACCGUUUCCAAACUUUUGUGAACUGUUCUUAUGCAGUCAGUCCCAUAAGUAUUCGUACCCUCCAUGUUUAUUGAAGAAAUUUGCCCAAAUUAAAUUGUAGGUUUGAUAUUUCCAUAUCAAUUUCUCAUUAUGAAUAAUUUAUCGAAGAUAUUAAGCUUACAUUUAAUUUAGACGAAUGUGCUCAACAAAAAUAGUGAGUACAAAUAGUUAUGGAACUGGCUGUAUGUAAUAUAUAAAUUACAAACAAUUGUUUCAUGCAUUAUUCAAUUUAGU
Long non-coding RNA from Hylaeus volcanicus, 1016 nucleotides. RefSeq lists it as uncharacterized. The record is from RefSeq and is a predicted model, not a curated record. NCBI's taxonomy places the organism in Eukaryota, Metazoa, Arthropoda, Insecta, Hymenoptera, Colletidae. The transcript is spliced from 3 exons.